RNAcentral lists this ribosomal RNA (467 nucleotides) under uncultured bacterium. RNAcentral describes it as "partial 16S ribosomal RNA". It matches the Rfam family "Bacterial small subunit ribosomal RNA", at positions 29 to 507 of the family's 1533-position model. The record is from RNAcentral.
ACGCACGCUGGCGGCGUGCUUAACACAUGCAAGUCGAACGGAAAGGCCCUGCUUUUGUGGGGUGCUCGAGUGGCGAACGGGUGAGUAACACGUGAGUAACCUGCCCUUGACUUUGGGAUAACUUCAGGAAACUGGGGCUAAUACCGGAUAGGAGCUCCUGCUGCAUGGUGGGGGUUGGAAAGUUUCGGCGGUUGGAGAUGGACUCGCGGCUUAUCAGCUUGUUGGUGGGGUAGUGGCUUACCAAGGCUUUGACGGGUAGCCGGCCUGAGAGGGUGACCGGCCACAUUGGGACUGAGAUACGGCCCAGACUCCUACGGGAGGCAGCAGUGGGGAAUAUUGCACAAUGGGCGGAAGCCUGAUGCAGCAACGCCGCGUGCGGGAUGACGGCCUUCGGGUUGUAAACCGCUUUCGCCUGUGACGAAGCGUGAGUGACGGUAAUGGGUAAAGAAGCACCGGCUAACUACGUG